AGAAAAAAAAGAUUAUUUUCAAUGUUAAGAAUCGAGUUUUCAUAAAUGAAGGACACACAAGGUGAUAAGGGUUGAAUGCUAACGUAACAUCAUUAGAUGAGAAGAUGAGAAAGAAGAUCAGAAAUGAGACGUGAAGAAAAUAAAAAAAAGUUAAAAGAAGAAAGGUAGAAACAUCAGAAAUAAGAAGAUAAAAAAAAAAAAUGAAAUCCGAUAACAUGAGAUGUUUUAUGUUGAAAAGAUAGGAGGAUGCGAGGAGAAUAAGAUGAAUAAAAAAAAGGUAUAUACGGUAUUAUUCGUUUGAAGAAAAAAAUCAGGAGUAAAGAAAAAAAAUUAAAAAUAAGAAUGAAUAGUGAGUAUUCGAAAAUCUAGAGCCAAUAAUAGAACUCAAACGCCCAGAGUUAUUUAUAAUAAUAAGUUCAUAGACGAGAGUGAAAUGUCAAGAAAAAAAAAGGAUUGAUCAGGAAAACUUAUAUGACGAACAUGAGAGUUAAAAAUAAAUUCAUAUAUGUAAAACAUUAAAAAAAAAUAGAAUUUUAGGAAAACGAAAUAUGAAAAAUAGAAUUACAAAAACAGGAUGAAAUAGAAAUGAUUUGAAUAAUGGAAAAGUAAAAAAAAAAAUGAGAAAAAGAGAGUUGGAAGUUGAGAUAUGAAAAGUUGAAAAAAAAUGACACAAAAGAAGAGAUUAGAACAAUUAGAAAACAAGAAAUAGUUAAAGAGAAGAAAUUCAAAUAAAAUUAUUAGGAGUCAUGGGCCAAUAGGCUUAAAAAAUCUGAAAUUAAGCGUCAAUAUUGAGAACGGAUGAUGCUUAAGUGACGAGUGACAAAGAUACAUAAGUUUGGUUCGUUGGUUUGUAAGACUCAAAGAUCUCGAAAUAAGGAUAUUGAUAGUCGAAAACUUAAGAUCGGAAUUUUAAAAAAAAAAUGAGUUCUUAGUCAGCAAUCUCGAAAAAAUAGUAAAGAUUCCGAAAUCAAACAUUUAGAGUAGAAAAAAAAUCCAAAGUCUAGCGUUUGUAAAAAAAAAAAUAUAUAUAAUAGAAUUAGUAAAUCAAGAAUAAAGAACCGAGAGUAAGAAAAAUAAACCAAGCUAUUAAGUCACGAGACAAGCAUAAUAAAUCGAGAAUCAGAUUUUAGGAUUCGAAAUUGAAUUUCAAGGAACAUUAGUCAAGAAUUGAAUUAAAAACGAACAUCAAGAGUCAAGACUAAAAAAAAUGACAAUAAGAAUCAAAUGUAAAAUACCAAAUGACAAAAACAGGAGUAAGCAAUGAUAGAAGUAAAUAAGAAAAACCAAAUGCAAAACAGUUGAGAGGUGAAGAAAAGGCAAUAGAGGGGGAUGAAGUUUGUGUGCAUUGGAAGUCAGUAAGAAUUAGUGGUGAAUUAGGUGAAUUGCAAGUAAUUAAAAAAAAAAUCGAUGAAUUACAACACUUUACAACUAAAAUUGAGGAUGAAUGCUUUCUAAAAUGACCGAUUUAUUAAAUAUGUACUUUGAAAAAUACGAAUAAAUAUAUUGAGUUAAUUUCAUUUAAAAAAAAACCUUAAAUAUUGUGAGUUAAAAAAAAAACGACAUGAAAAAAAAUCAAAUCAUGAAUAACUUUGUUUUAAAAUCGCAGUAAUAAUCAAACUCUACAGUACGGGUGGAGGCGAAUGUAGAGAAUAAUGAUAAAUAAAUGAUAUUUAAAAUGAAUUCCUUAGUACACAGCAGUAAAUAACGAAAUUUUAAGAAUAUUUAAAAUAUUAAUAAGAGUUAUAACAACAAAACUAUUGAAAUAAAAAAAUGUUGAUAAUGAUAUAAAUGUUGAUAAUCUUAUCCAUGAUUGACGUAAUUUAUGGUUGAUACCUUAUCAUCCGUUUGUAGCUCUCUUCCAAUUAAAGAAACGCUUCAAAAUGACAGCUUACUCAAUUCAACCAGAGAGUGGAAGAAUAAAGAGAGAGAGAUCACUGUCUGUUACAGAAAAAGAACGAAAACUCUCGAGCUGUGGUUUAACGUCAGUUCGUUAAGAGAUGUUUAUGAGAACAGUUCCGAAAUGUUUUCAGUGACGAGAUAAAAGAAAGGUGAUGUAUCGAACGGAGCGUUUCCAAAAGUCGCGAUGGUUUGUGUGAAAGUGUGUUCGAACGGUCGACAAAAGGUUAGUGAAGUGUUUUAGAACCACCAGUCACGACAUUCACUUAGACUUUACGUGAAAUUCAUGCGCUAGUUACGUAGAAGUAAAGAAAUUACUACAGGCACACGUAAAAUCGAUGGGAUGCAACAAAAUCUUAGUUUACGUGAAAAAUCCCGUAGAAAAAAUUUCUUAAUUAAUUUGGGUGUAGUGAAGAUUAAAGCCCUACAGUAAAAGUGCGGCAGACUGAAUUUCUCACCGAUUCGGCAGCACUGAAAAGGCUUCUGUAAUCCUUCAACACUGCCAAUAACGAAAACAUUCGCAUGACUUCUUGUUGAUGUGCAACUGUGUCGCAGAUUGUGAAGUUGAUUUUCGUUUUGUGAAUAUUAUUUAAUUUGUUCUCCGUUGUGUCAAUUGUUAAAAUAAAAAUGAAGUGGUUCUUUCCGUUUUGCUCCAAUGAAUUUUCUCUGCAUUCUUGAUUAAUUUCAAUUAAAAAAUUGAAAGUCACAAACACACAGAUUGCAAUACUUGCCACGAAUUUGAAAUGGUAAAAAUGGUAAUGCUCGAUUGGAACGACUUUUGACAGUUCGAUUGGAACUCCGCGGUGACAGUCUGCCGCACUUUUAUUUUAGGGCUUUAGUGAAGAUCAAGGUUCUUAGAUACACUAGGUUCUCCGACUUUCAUAGUAAGUACACAGAAAAAAAAUCUGAAUCCUUAACAACACUGAAAUUGGAAACCUUUAAUAUUACAUGACGUUGAACACGAUUAUUCAAUGUGAAUUUACAGAUUGAAAAAAGUUGAAUCCUUAAAAGCAUUGAAUUCUAAUGACAUGAAUAUUACUUGACACGGAACGUAAUUAUUUGAUGUGAAUUUCCAUCACAUAUGAUGUAAAUAAAAAGAAGCAUCACAUAUGACGGAAUUUUCAGUGCGAAUUGAAUAUUACACGUCUUAAAUAUUUUACAUGUCUUUCAAAUUUUACAUGGCAGUUGAAGUUUACAGACGUGUAAUGAUUAAUUCGCUCUGAAAAUUUCAUCAUAUAUGAUCCUUCUUUUUCUUUCUUAAUUCUUAACAAACAAAUGUUGAAGUCUAAACAUCACUGGAAAUAAAAUUUCUAAGCGCUCUCAAAGUAAGAAAAUUCGAUGGUUUCAAUAAGCAAAACGACCGUUUUAAUAAUGUUCAUCGGAGUUCAAUUGAUAUGAUUUUAAAAGAAAAAAAACACCCGUUCCCUCAAAUUUGUGUGCAGAGUGACAAAGACGGAAACUGCGGAUCUUUUGACAAUCCGGUUUCGUUCAGUAAUUUUAUCGUGUUGUUUUGAUGGUGCGGAAUUUGCUUGUUUCCAAGGUUUCCUUUUUUUUCGUUCGCUAGCGUAAAAAAGUUCGGGUCGGUUACAGUCUAGCUUUGCUCCAAGCCAGAAUAAUUUAAGUGAAAAUUGUGUAUUAAGACAGUGACUUUCGUCGAAGGUUUGGACAUAGGGAUGCACUUUGACAAAAUCGGUCCUUCUGACGAGCAUCCGAAAAGCCCACACCAAUAGUACGGAAGAUGUUACAAAUAAUCGUUGCUCAGUGAGCCCGUGAAAUAAGGUUUGUUCCUCGAAAAUUGUCGUCCGGAAAUGGUGCGAAGAAACAUCGAAAAAUCCUGACGGAACAGUAUUUUUAUUUUGCCCGUAUUUCGGAAUGUUUUCCGUCUGGAGUCGGGAAGAAAAAGAGUAAACAAGACGAACGGAAAGCAGCAAUAACCAAAAAGUACGACGAUUGCGACACUGGACACUGGAGAUGGUCAAAAGAAGGCUAAAAGGCAUAACGAAUCCAAGGCAGCAUAGCGUAAGAACAACAAGAAACCGAACGCGCGGCGCAAAUCGAGAACAAUUUGCCGCCCCGAUAGAAAGGCAAAACAGGCGUUUCGUGAUGCGGCCCAAACAGCGCCCAUCUAAAAUCCGGACUCGUUAGUGAAUUGUAAUCGAUGAGUGGUCGUGAUACUACCUUUCUUACGAUGGUUCAUGAUAAACACAUCCACGUCAGAUGCGAAUGCGAUCGAUCUGGACGACGGAAUUGGAAAACAAAAACGCAGUGGUUGCCAGCUCAAUCCCGCAGCCAGUGUAGAUGCGUCCUGGUAUGGCAUGGUGCCAGAAACUAUCCAAUCCAACGACCGAGACAACUCGAACCACAGCAACCGCAACAAGGACAGAUGACCAGUGUAAGAUUCGUCUCAGUAGCAGAUGUACGUUGAAGGCUACGGUCAAGGAAUCCGGAUCAGCAAGGACCCGGUGACUUACGAGUAAAAGUUAGUGUUCUUCAUAGUCAUGCAGUUUUUUAUGUCAUUAUUUUUGCAAAAAAAUUUGUUGGUUGAUAAUUUUUGCCAUGAGUGUCUUAGUGGAUCGAUA
Molecule: long non-coding RNA, 4475 nt
Organism: Uranotaenia lowii
Lineage: Eukaryota; Metazoa; Arthropoda; Insecta; Diptera; Culicidae
Exons: 4
Source: RefSeq, a predicted model, not a curated record